Molecule: ribosomal RNA, 517 nt
Filed under: uncultured bacterium
Lineage: Bacteria
Description: bacterial SSU rRNA
Rfam family: Bacterial small subunit ribosomal RNA
Source: RNAcentral
GCGCACGGGUGAGUAACACGUGACUAACCUUACCCUGGAGUGGGGGAUAACUGAGGGAAACCUUAGCUAAUACCGCAUAAUACCUACGGGUCAAAGGAGCAAUUCGCUUUAGGAGGGGGUCGCGGCAGAUUAGUUAGUUGGCGGGGUAAUGGCCCACCAAGACAGUGAUCUGUAUCCGGCCUGAGAGGGCGCACGGACACACUGGAACUGGAAACACGGUCCAGACUCCUACGGGAGGCAGCAGUGGGGAAUUUUGCGCAAUGGGGGAAAGCCUGACGCAGCAACGCCUGCGUGGAGGAUGAAGUACUUCGGUACGUAAACUCCUUUCGAUCGGGACGAUAAUGACGGUACCGGAAGAAGAGGCCCCGGUUGAACUUCGUGCCAGCAGCCGCCGGUCAAUACGAGGGGGGCAUGCGUUGUCCGGCAAUUAUUGGGCGUAAAGGGUGCGUAGGGCGGAUUGAUAAGUCUUGUGUCGAAUCUACAGGCUCAACUUGUAGACUGCACGAGAAAAUUGCCG